Transfer RNA from Loxodonta africana (African savanna elephant), 71 nucleotides. It matches the Rfam family "tRNA". From Rfam's summary of the family: Transfer RNA (tRNA) molecules are approximately 80 nucleotides in length. Their secondary structure includes four short double-helical elements and three loops (D, anti-codon, and T loops). Lineage: Eukaryota; Metazoa; Chordata; Mammalia; Proboscidea; Elephantidae. The record is from Rfam.
GCAGUGGUGGCUCAGUGGUAGAAUUUUUGCUUUCCAUGCAGGAGACCUGGCUUUAGUUCCCAGCCAAUGCA